Molecule: ribosomal RNA, 468 nt
Filed under: uncultured bacterium
Lineage: Bacteria
Description: partial 16S ribosomal RNA
Rfam family: Bacterial small subunit ribosomal RNA
Source: RNAcentral
GACGAACGCUGGCGGCGUGCUUAACACAUGCAAGUCGAACGGAAAGGCCCUGCUUUUGUGGGGUGCUCGAGUGGCGAACGGGUGAGUAACACGUGAGUAACCUGCCCUUGACUUUGGGAUAACUUCAGGAAAAUGGGGCUAAUACCGGAUAGGAGCUCCUGCUGCAUGGUGGGGGGUGGAAAGUUUCGGCGGUUGGGGAUGGACUCGCGGCUUAUCAGCUUGUUGGUGGGGUAGUGGCUUACCAAGGCUUUGACGGGUAGCCGGCCUGAGAGGGUGACCGGCCACAUUGGGACUGAGAUACGGCCCAGACUCCUACGGGAGGCAGCAGUGGGGAAUAUUGCACAAUGGGCGGAAGCCUGAUGCAGCAACGCCGCGUGCGGGAUGACGGCCUUCGGGUUGUAAACCGCUUUCGCCUGUGACGAAGCGUGAGUGACGGUAAUGGGUAAAGAAGCACCGGCUAACUACGUG